RNAcentral lists this ribosomal RNA (465 nucleotides) under Vreelandella stevensii. Its description in RNAcentral is "partial 16S ribosomal RNA". It matches the Rfam family "Bacterial small subunit ribosomal RNA", at positions 338 to 795 of the family's 1533-position model. The record is from RNAcentral. Lineage: Bacteria; Pseudomonadati; Pseudomonadota; Gammaproteobacteria; Oceanospirillales; Halomonadaceae.
CCUACGGGUGGCAGCAGUGGGGAAUAUUGGACAAUGGGGGCAACCCUGAUCCAGCCAUGCCGCGUGUGUGAAGAACGCCCUCGGGUUGUAAAGCACUUUCAGUGAGGAAGAACGCCUGGUGGUUAAUACCCAUCAGGAAAGACAUCACUCACAGAAGAAGCACCGGCUAACUCCGUGCCAGCAGCCGCGGUAAUACGGAGGGUGCGAGCGUUAAUCGGAAUUACUGGGCGUAAAGCGCGCGUAGGUGGCUUGAUAAGCCGGUUGUGAAAGCCCCGGGCUCAACCUGGGAACGGCAUCCGGAACUGUCAAGCUAGAGUGCAGGAGAGGAAGGUAGAAUUCCCGGUGUAGCGGUGAAAUGCGUAGAGAUCGGGAGGAAUACCAGUGGCGAAGGCGGCCUUCUGGACUGACACUGACACUGAGGUGCGAAAGCGUGGGUAGCAAACAGGAUUAGAUACCCGAGUAGUC